Molecule: ribosomal RNA, 497 nt
Filed under: uncultured bacterium
Lineage: Bacteria
Description: partial 16S ribosomal RNA
Rfam family: Bacterial small subunit ribosomal RNA
Source: RNAcentral
GAUGAACGCUGGCGGCGUGCCUAAUACAUGCAAGUCGAGCGAACGGACGAGAAGCUUGCUUCUCUGACGUUAGCGGCGGACGGGUGAGUAACACGUGGAUAACCUACCUAUAAGACUGGGAUAACUUCGGGAAACCGGAGCUAAUACCGGAUAAUAUUUUGAACCGCAUGGUUCAAAAGUGAAAGACGGUCUUGCUGUCACUUAUAGAUGGAUCUGCGCUGCAUUAGCUAGUUGGUAAGGUAACGGCUUACCAAGGCUAGGAUGCAUAGCCGACCUGAGAGGGUGAUCGGCCACACGGGAACUGAGACACGGUCCAGGGUCCUACGGGAGGCAGCAGUAGGGAAUCUUACGCAGUGGGCGAAAGCCUGACGGAGCAGCGCCGCGUGAGUGGUGAAGGUCUUCGGAUCGUAAUACUCUGUUAUUGGGGAAGAACAGAUGUGUAAGUAACUGUGCACAUCUUGACGGUACCUAAUCAGAAAGCCACGGCUAACUACGUG